CCUACGUGAGGCAGCAGUGGGGAAUAUUGCACAAUGGGGGAAACCCUGAUGCAGCGACGCCGCGUGAGUGAAGAAGUAAUUCGUUAUGUAAAGCUCUAUCAGCAGGGAAGAAAAUGACGGUACCUGAGUAAGAAGCCCCGGCUAACUACGUGCCAGCAGCCGCGGUAAUACGUAGGGGGCAAGCGUUAUCCGGAUUUACUGGGUGUAAAGGGAGCGUAGACGGCAGUGCAAGUCUGGAGUGAAAGGCGGGGGCUCAACCCCCGGACUGCUCUGGAAACUGUACGGCUGGAGUGCAGGAGAGGUAAGUGGAAUUCCUAGUGUAGCGGUGAAAUGCGUAGAUAUUAGGAGGAACACCAGUGGUGAAGGCGGCUUACUGGACUGUAACUGACGUUGAGGCUCGAAAGCGUGGGGAGCAAACAGGAUUAGAUACCCCAGUAGUC
This 440-nucleotide ribosomal RNA is filed under the name uncultured bacterium. Its description in RNAcentral is "partial 16S ribosomal RNA". It matches the Rfam family "Bacterial small subunit ribosomal RNA", at positions 338 to 795 of the family's 1533-position model. The record is from RNAcentral.